This 403-nucleotide long non-coding RNA is filed under the name Erythranthe guttata (spotted monkey flower). Its description in RNAcentral is "long non-coding RNA (EGUT_LNC002462)". Lineage: Eukaryota; Viridiplantae; Streptophyta; Magnoliopsida; Lamiales; Phrymaceae. The record is from RNAcentral.
AUUACACCAACACUCAUUAUAAGAGUUAGUACCUAAUAUUUACCAAUAUGGUAAAAGUCUAAGGUUUUAGCAUUGCGCCAAAAUGUAUCAAUAAUAUUUCGGCUUUGAACUCUUUUUUAUGUCCCAGGUUGUGUGUCAAACUGUACUACAGGGUAUUGUAAUGAAAUUCUACAAUAUAUUUAAUGUAUUAUAAUUAUAACUAUUACAUGAUAUUCAUAUAAUGACAUGCAAAAGAAAAGAUAUUUUCACAUCGAAUGUAGUUGAUAACAAAUACACGAUAUUUAACUAUAUUCAAAUAAUAAAAAUAUUAUAGACAUGUUAUUGAAAAUAUAGCAUCAUUGCACCUAUUAAUUAUUAUACACAUCGAACUUUUCCUCGUCAUCCUUUUCAUAUUCAUUCCCUG